RNAcentral lists this ribosomal RNA (440 nucleotides) under uncultured bacterium. Its description in RNAcentral is "partial 16S ribosomal RNA". It matches the Rfam family "Bacterial small subunit ribosomal RNA", at positions 338 to 795 of the family's 1533-position model. The record is from RNAcentral.
CCUACGGGUGGCAGCAGUGGGGAAUAUUGCACAAUGGGGGGAACCCUGAUGCAGCGAUGCCGCGUGGAGGAAGAAGGUUUUCGGAUUGUAAACUCCUUUUAUCAGGGACGAUAAUGACGGUACCUGAAGAAAAAGCUCCGGCUAACUACGUGACAGCAGCCGCGGUAAUACGUAGGGAGCGAGCGUUGUCCGGAAUUACUGGGUGUAAAGGGAGAGUAGGCGGGACGGCAAGUCAGAUGUGAAAACUGAGGGCUCAACCUUCAGACUGCAUUUGAAACUGCUGUUCUUGAGUGAAGUAGAGGUAAGCGGAAUUCCUAGUGUAGCGGUGAAAUGCGUAGAUAUUAGGAGGAACAUCGGUGGCGAAGGCGGCUUACUGGGGUGCGACUGACGCUGUGGCUCGAAGGUGCGGGUAUCAAACAGGAUUAGAUACCCUUGUAGUC